AAACCCCCCUUAAACCCUCUCUCUCUUAUGUGUCUCUCAAAAAAAAACCCCAAACCCCAACUGACGAAAACCCAAAAAACCCCAGACCCCGUGAAACUCUCUCGCUCACCUUCGCCUGCGCUUCUUCCAGGCUCGCCAGAGUUUUCCCCUUGUUGGCGUCGUCUCGCUACUCUCUUCCUCUCAUAUGUGCUCCUCGAGUCUCUCUCCUCCUCGUACCUUCAUCUUGAUUUGUGCUGGAGUUUCUUCUUGCCGAAUUUUCUCCCCGGUGCGUCGUUGUUAGGCCGUUUUCAACUUGUUGCAGCUUGGUGUGGUGCUCGUGUUCUUCCUCUCUUCCCUAUGUUUGUCGUCGCUGUUGAUAUUGUUGUUUUAGCGAUGCUGUCGCGGCUGUUGUUAUUAGCUACCGGUGACGUUGUUGUUGUCCUGUUUUUCUCUUUCCCCUGAUUCAUUCGCGAAUGUGCUUCGCUGUGACACACCUUCGCCUGACUUGCGGCGCCUCGCCGCGGAGCACCGAAGCUUCGAAAACCCCUUCAUCCCUCUGUUCUUCGCUGCUCCUAGUAGACCAAAGGCUUAGUUUAUGAACAAAAAUAGGAAGUGGGCAAGGUAUGGGUGGAGGACGGUUACUUCUUCUGACCUGAUACGGUCGGCUAUGCUCCAUUACGAACCUUGGGGGUAGUAUUGCUGGGCUCCAUAACGAACUUUGGAGGCAGUGUUUGUCCUUUGUCCAAAGUCUGUACUUGCCACAGAUUUGUUUAAGAGAGUGAGCUAUGCCAGCGUUGUAACGAGAUGAAAAUGAUUUGAGAAAUAAAAUGUUUAUAACGGACUGAAGUAAAGGUUACGUGUUUUCCACUUAUUUUUGGAAUUUUAUUUUUUUGUAUUUUCUCCCUGAAUUUGCAGGUUUGGUGUUGUGAGCUCGAAAUUGGAAGUGGAGCAAGAUUAUGAUGUUGUCCUAGAUUAAGGAUUAAGUUGUAUUUGUGGAUAAGGAUUGACUUUGUAUUUUAGAUAAUUGGUUUGAGAAUAGUUAUUUACAUUUCGUUGUAUAUAAUAUUUUGGGAAUUUUAGUGGAGUUAUUGGUGUAAUUAAGGAUA
Molecule: long non-coding RNA, 1085 nt
Organism: Beta vulgaris subsp. vulgaris (sugar beet)
Lineage: Eukaryota; Viridiplantae; Streptophyta; Magnoliopsida; Caryophyllales; Amaranthaceae
Exons: 2
Source: RefSeq, a predicted model, not a curated record